UUUGAAAGUGGGUGAGCAGGACAUGAGGCAGAAUUCAUUCAGGAAGUAUUUCCUGAGUACCUGUGACGGGCCUAGGGACUGGGUGCCCAGGUCCUGUGUCCUGGGGACAGGAUGCCCAGGCUCUGCCUUCUCCCACUUAUAGACAGAGUGGGGCAGCCCCCUGCCACCUCUGGAUGAGCACAUAGAUGUCUCUGUAAAGCUGAGCAAAGCUGAACUCUGCAGACCUAGUGCUGGCCAAGAAGGUCUGCCAUGAAGGCAAGCACUCACCGUGAGACUCUGCCUUGAAAGCUCAUAAACCUGGGAGCCUGCUGUGCUCAGCCUCAGAAACCCCCAGGUGCCCGUGUGUCUGCCACCGCCAGCCCCCACCAUCCCCUCAGUGAUAAGAUACUGGGAGGCAGACCAUAAAAGGUGGAUUUUAUGACAACAGCUUGGUGACCAGACCAUCCCGCAGUCAGGGCUGCCUCCGCUGAGGGCGGAAGCAGGGAUGACUCAUGGAGAGGCCCCAGCAGACAGCCGAGGAAGCCUCUGACCCUGCAGUGCUGUGAGCUGGGUCAUAAUGGGACACUGGGGAGCCACAGAUGUGCCCAGAGGUAGGGAGAUGCUGUGAGUCACUCCACCCUGUCAGGCACUGGCAGGGAGUUGAGGAGUCAGAAGCAGAGAGAGCCAACACUGAGCUCGCCCGGUACCUAUGAGCAGCCAGCCUCUAAAUGGCUUACAGCUUGACAGUCCUCACACUGUGGCAGUGUAGUUUCUGGAAGCCUAUGGGGCCCAGGGACAUUCCUGUGACUGAUGCCAGUGGAUGAGGUGUGCUACAGUAGGUGAACAAGCGGCCUUCCCAGGGAAUGAAGGAGCUGCCUGUUUAGAGGAUUCUUUGUCACAUGCAUGGAAGAUUUUAGGAAAGGUAGGAGGUAAGAAAAAUUAUAGAAGAAGGUGCCAGCUGCUUCUUUGAAGAGUGGUGUUUUAUAAAAGCUGCUGAGAAUGUGAGUCACGGGUGGUUGGCGGGGGGAAGGAUAAUGGGUAUUAAUUUCACUUGUUUUGUACCAGUCAUUCCAACUUUGCAAUGACGAAAAUGUGAGGAGAAAGUGUGGGAUAAGGCAGCCACUCCAGGAUGAAAGAAGGCACUGGGCAACAGCAGACGUGGGUCAGCCUAGAGAGCAGAUCCAGCCAGCUCUGGAAGAAGUUUAAUGGGAGAAGUCUGCAAGACAGGAGGAGAUAAAUUAGCACCUUUAAGAUCAAGG
This 1238-nucleotide long non-coding RNA is filed under the name Rhinopithecus bieti (black snub-nosed monkey). RNAcentral's name for it is "lncRNA (ENSRBIG00000046484.1)". The record is from RNAcentral. Lineage: Eukaryota; Metazoa; Chordata; Mammalia; Primates; Cercopithecidae.